Molecule: ribosomal RNA, 301 nt
Filed under: uncultured eukaryote
Lineage: Eukaryota
Description: partial large subunit ribosomal RNA
Rfam family: Eukaryotic large subunit ribosomal RNA
Source: RNAcentral
AUAUAACUAAGCGGAGGAGAAGAAACUAACCAGGAUUCCCCUAGUAACUGCGAGUGAAGCGGGAAGAGCUCAGACUGAAAAUCUUCGGAGUUGUAGUCUGUCGAGGUCAAGUCAAUCAGUGUCGUCGAGCGAAGUGUGGUUGAAUCCACUGCCGAGGAGGGUGAAAGCCCCGUGCCCGCUUGAAUGUAUCUGGUGUACGACUGGCCUUCAACGAGUCGAGUUGUUUGGGAUUGCAGCUCUAAGCGGGUGGUAAAUUCCAUCUAAAGCUAAAUAUGGGUGGGAGACCGAUAGCGCACAAGUA